This 253-nucleotide ribosomal RNA is filed under the name uncultured bacterium. RNAcentral describes it as "partial 16S ribosomal RNA". It matches the Rfam family "Bacterial small subunit ribosomal RNA", at positions 524 to 776 of the family's 1533-position model. The record is from RNAcentral.
GACGAACCGUGCGAACGUUGUUCGGAAUCACUGGGCUUAAAGGGCGCGUAGGCGGACAGUCAAGUCAGGGGUGAAAUCCCACGGCUCAACCGUGGAAGUGCCUUUGAUACUGAUAGUCUUGAGUAUGGGAGAGGUGAGUGGAACUGCGAGUGUAGAGGUGAAAUUCGUAGAUAUUCGCAAGAACACCAGUGGCGAAGGCGGCUCACUGGCCCAUUACUGACGCUGAGGCACGAAAGCGUGGGGAGCAAACAGG